Molecule: long non-coding RNA, 1197 nt
Organism: Phoenix dactylifera (date palm)
Lineage: Eukaryota; Viridiplantae; Streptophyta; Magnoliopsida; Arecales; Arecaceae
Source: RefSeq, a predicted model, not a curated record
AAACACUGACACAUAAAUAUGUACAAAAACUCCUCUGAAAUCUUUUCUUUUACCGCACGAUUCACCCCAAGAUCGUUCCCUCGACCCCCAUCUCGCUCUCCCCCCGCCCCACGGGCGAGACUUCCGUACUUCUUAAAGCGGACAAAUUUCUCCUAGAGAAGAGAUUUAUUUUCUUCGAGAAUAUGUUCUUGUUUUGCCCGUCUCGAUGGCUGUCCACUUGAAAUUAGGGUUCUAGGGACGUAGUUUGAAUAAAUAUUCAGCUAGUUCAGGGUUUUUCUCUUUUCUCUCUUCCUUCUUUCCCUUUGGUUGGAGAGGGAAGGUUCGGAUGGUCGGGGCGGUGAUCAGUUGAAGCUUGGAGGACGAAUCUGGCGGCCGGCGAGGCGGUGGGGAUGGUAUGACGAGGUUUUCUUGGCCCUAUGGAGGGCACCAUGUCUUCAUUUGCGGUUCUUUCACAUGAUGGACUGAUCCUCGGCCAAUGAUGCUCAUGGAUGGAUCGCCUACAGAGUUUCUGGCGUUUUUUGAUCUUCCGCCGGGUGUUUACCGGUUUGAUGAAUGGCAACCAUGUCUUAUUGAUGAGUAUGGGGCCAUGAACAAUGUGACAUUUGAAGAAGACAGGGAAAUGGUGAAUGACAUUUCUUUUCACACAUGACAUUAUGGCUUUAGCAAAAGAUGAUAUGUAUGCUUGCAUCCAGCUUGAUCAGAUGACCAUGGUGCAAGCGCUGGAACAGGUAUUACAGGCAAAUGGCUGCAGAUGAUGCCACACUUGUUUGCAUUCAACUUCUUUCCAUGAGAUUUUGGAGCCACUUUCUGAUCCAGAAAUAUGAAGACUGCUGCGGAAUGACAUCCGUCUGGCUGAGCACCAAAGCUGCUUUUUUCCUCAGCUGAUCUACUCUGAGGAGGCUGAUGAGGAUCCCUCUUGACCGCAGAGAUUGCUCUCUUGUGAUUGCUGAAUGCUUCAAGAUCUUGUAGAAGAGGUCUAGAGCCACCUCCUUGGUGGAGAGGGAACCUUUGUCCAGCACCUCUAGAAUUGCUUCCAUGCCCUGGUUCUCCACUAUGACCGCUGCUGCAGACGAGACAUCGCCAUCAUCCUCGAGCAAGCUAUCAAGUGCCACUAGUGCAGCGUCUGAGGCACUGGAUGCCAGCUCGCUCGCCACUGUCUGCACCAGUGGCCCCACGGCACCAGCAUUGACAAGGCAC